Molecule: ribosomal RNA, 468 nt
Filed under: uncultured bacterium
Lineage: Bacteria
Description: partial 16S ribosomal RNA
Rfam family: Bacterial small subunit ribosomal RNA
Source: RNAcentral
GACGAACGCUGGCGGCGUGCUUAACACAUGCAAGUCGAACGGAAAGGCCCUGCUUUUGUGGGGUGCUCGAGUGGCGAACGGGUGAGUAACACGUGAGUAACCUGCCCUUGACUUUGGGAUAACUUCAGGAAACUGGGGCUAAUACCGGAUAGGAGCUCCUGCUGCAUGGUGGGGGUUGGAAAGUUUCGGCGGUUGGGGAUGGACGCGCGGCUUAUCAGCUUGUUGGUGGGGUAGUGGCUUACCAAGGCUUUGACGGGUAGCCGGCCUGGGAGGGUGACCGGCCACAUUGGGACUGAGAGACGGCCCAGACUCCUACGGGAGGCAGAAGGGGGGAAUAUUGCACAAUGGGCGGAAGCCUGAGGCAGCAACGCCGCGUGCGGGAUGACGGCCUGCGGGUUGUAAACCGCUUUCGCCUGUGACGAAGCGGGAGUGACGGUAAUGGGUAAAGAAGCACCGGCUAACUACGUG